Molecule: ribosomal RNA, 245 nt
Filed under: uncultured bacterium
Lineage: Bacteria
Description: partial 16S ribosomal RNA
Rfam family: Bacterial small subunit ribosomal RNA
Source: RNAcentral
UACGGAGGGUGCAAGCAUUGAUCGGAAUUACUGGGCGUAAAGGGCGCGCAGGCGGUCGGGAAAGUCAGAUGUGAAAUUCCGGAGCUCAACUCCGGAGCUGCAUUUGAAACUUCUUGACUAGAGUUCAGUUAGGGAAAACGGAAUUCCACGUGUAGCGGUGAAAUGCGUAGAUAUGUGGAAGAACACCGGUGGUGAAGACGGUUUUCUGGGCUGAUACUGACGCUGAGGCGCGAAAGCAAGGGGAG